UCUGCCUUAUAGGUCAGCGGUCUCACUAGAGUACCCAACUAAAUGAUGGCAACUAGUGACGAGGGUUGCGCUCGUUGCGGGACUUAACCCAACAUCUCACAACACGAGCUGACGACAGCCAUGCAGCACCUGUCACCGCGUCUCCGAAGAGAAUCCCCGCUUUCACGGGGUAGCGCGGGAUGUCAAGCCUAGGUAAGGUUUUUCGCGUAGCAUCGAAUUAAACCACAUGCUCCACCGCUUGUGCGGGCCCCCGUCAAUUCCUUUGAGUUUUAAUCUUGCGACCGUAAUCCCCAGGCGGAGUACUUAAUGCGUUAGCUUCGUCACCGAGACAAUUAGGUAUCCCGACAACUAGUACUCAUCGUUUAGGGCGUGGACUAC
Molecule: unclassified non-coding RNA, 378 nt
Filed under: uncultured delta proteobacterium
Lineage: Bacteria; Deltaproteobacteria
Description: contains 16S-23S intergenic spacer region
Source: RNAcentral